UCUUGUUGUUUUUCGGUAAAGUUCUGUUAAUUAAUCGUUAAUGGGAAUAAAAUCGGUUUGUAAGCUGUCCUGGGACGUUUUGUAAAGGACGGGAUAUAAAUAUUGUAAUUAAGUUAAAUUUAAAUUAAAAUGUUCUUUCGAUGUUGCUUGUUCCUCAGCAUUUAUUAUUCGUUAGUUGAUUGUUAGUCAUUAAUUUAACAGUGUUGAGCUUUCGGCAUUUGUUGUUCCUUGUUCACAAUAUCAGUGCUCUGGACUUAGCCUUACCGAGACCAUUUUGGAGCCAACAGGGCUUGAUGAUUGUGGCUUGAUUAGAAUGGUCUGCAUCCUGCUUGCUGAGGAUGAUGGGAGCUAUGCUUUUAAUAGGGUCAUGACCAGAUUUUGCCCACUAUGGCUUUCCUUAAUGUGGAUGUUGCCUCUGCAGGUAACACGUGUUUUAGCAUUCCCUGGUGCCCUGCAUAUGUGUGGGACUUCAGCUUCAGCCUUGCACAGCAUGGCAUGCAGUCCCAGCAGAUCUGGAGAGCCCCACGUGGGAAAGGCUGCUGCUCAUUUCUAUCUUGCCCUAGCAUGCAUGAAGUCACCCAGUGGUGGAGACCAGAACCUGGAUCUCUCCAAUCCCAGCCCUCUGCUCUAACCACUACACCACGUGUAAUCAGCUGAGUGGCUGCUGCUUUGUCUGCUUACCCAGUUCUCAUUCAGUUCCAGGAUGGGUGUCCGUCAUGCUCCCCGAUGUUUUGGACACAGGAGGAUUUCACUGGAACCUGUGAAAUAUGAUGACCCGCCAUGAGAGGAAGUGUGCUGCCCACCGAUGGUUGGCUUAUAUGGCCUUUCUCUUCCCUGUUUUACCUUCACAACAACCCUGAGAGUUUGGUCUGACCAGAAGUCAUGCACUAUGCUCCACAGCUGAGUCAGGAAUGGAAGUUGCACCCCCCAAGUCCCAGUCCAGCCCGGUGUCCUCUUUCAUGAAGACAAAGGCUCCAAGGGAAGAGGUUCGUUUUAUUUAGGGUUGACAGCAUUCCCUUGAGGGGGAUCUGCAGCUUGCCCCUUCAUCUGCUUUGCUCCAGAACUUGCUGUCAAAAGCACACGCCCCAGCCCAAAUGGCCAGGGCUGUGCCGAGGGGGAUGAGCAAGGAAGCGGGCCUGCUUCACAGGUCCUGCUAAAAAUACUUAGGCCCCGUCCUUCCCCAUCCCUUUUACCUUUUGUGCUGUGGCUUUAGGUGUUGCUCUCUGCAGACAGGGCCCAUCUCAAUCGAGUCUGGUCCAUGACUCCCAAGCAGAGCAGGUCAGAGCAAGCUGCCCCAGCUGGGCUAGGGCCUCUGGGAUACAAGCAGCCAAGCUCCCAGGGAGAGCAAACAAAGUUUGGUGGGGGAGUCCCCUAACAUUUUCCUGUUUUCUUUAUUUCACCUUAAUCCUCCCCAAUGCACACACUUGGAACACACUCCCAUUUACUAGUGAGGCUUGUUAAUCUUUAGUGAGGACUGGAGAAAGCACCAAUUGUCACGACAGCCCUCCAAGGCAGAACCACUUGGGUUUCACCAACAGUGGAUGAGGGAGACUCCACAGCGGCCUGCAACACAUCGUCUGCUCUCUCGCCUGAGAGGACCGUGUCCUGCACGUGCAACAGUUGCAAGCUAGUAGCCCUGUUACACGAAAAGGUGAGUGCACUGGAGCGGUGGGCGUCACCCUCAUGAUGAUAAAACAGUUUCUGGACAGCAGAGGAGCUUGCAACAGCUUAAGCACUCCAGACGCAAGAAGAGCAUCGGCAAGCCAUGGAGGCGGCAGAAGAGAACCCUUCGGGGAGGAAAAUGAGGAAACUCGCUGGAGCAGCGUGGCAGACACAGGCCUAGAAGGCCCUGCGCCAGUGGAACUCUCAACCUGCUUUAAAUUACUUGAGAAAGAGAUGGGUGAGGAACCCACUGUGAAAAAAAUGGAUAGCACAUUUGUGGAACUCUGAAAAAGAGAGAAAAGGCCAAGAAAGGGAAAAGGAGAAGAGAGUUGUGGGACAUUCCCUGUUCUGCAAGAUGGGAAAAUGUAUGUUGUGGCAACCCAGAGAAUCACCAAGGAUGCAGUCUCCCUGGUGCCAAUAUUGAUUUAUUUUGUUGGUUAUAUAUUGUAUUACUGUUUUUAUUCACUGUAAGCUACUCUGAUACAAUUGUUGUAAAGAACGGCAUACAAGUGUUUUAAAUAAAUUAAGCAUCCCCCUUUGCUUUUUCUGCAAGAAGCAUUUUCCCCUUUCUGGGGUUCAUGAGUGUCAGGAGUUUCUGUUAAUGGCACACAUUAAACACUGCUUGGAUCUGA
This is a long non-coding RNA of Varanus komodoensis (Komodo dragon), 2294 nucleotides long. RefSeq lists it as uncharacterized. Lineage: Eukaryota; Metazoa; Chordata; Lepidosauria; Squamata; Varanidae. The transcript is spliced from 4 exons. The record is from RefSeq and is a predicted model, not a curated record.